RNAcentral lists this ribosomal RNA (761 nucleotides) under uncultured Methanosaeta sp. RNAcentral's name for it is "bacterial SSU rRNA". It matches the Rfam family "Archaeal small subunit ribosomal RNA", at positions 27 to 793 of the family's 1478-position model. Lineage: Archaea; Methanobacteriati; Methanobacteriota; Methanomicrobia; Methanotrichales; Methanotrichaceae. The record is from RNAcentral.
CUGCUAUCGAGGUUCGACUAAGCCAUGCGAGUCGAAUGUAGCAAUACAUGGCGAACUGCUCAGUAACACGUGGACAACCUGCCCUUAGGUUGGGUAUAAACCCGGGAAACUGGGUAUAAUACCCGAUAGGUCUCGAUUGCUGGAAUGCAUCGAGAUUUAAAGCUCCGGCGCCUAAGGAUGGGUCUGCGGCCUAUCAGGUAGUAGUGGAUGUAGCGUACCUACUAGCCUACGACGGGUACGGGUUGUGAGAGCAAGAGCCCGGAGAUGGAUUCUGAGACACGAAUCCAGGCCCUACGGGGUGCAGCAGGCGCGAAAACUUUACAAUGCUGGCAACAGCGAUAAGGGAACCUCGAGUGCCAGGUUACAAAUCUGGCUGUCGAGAUGCCUAAAAAGCAUUUCAUAGCAAGGGCCGGGCAAGACCGGUGCCAGCCGCCGCGGUAACACCGGCGGCUCGAGUGGUAACCGUUAUUAUUGGGUCUAAAGGGUCUGUAGCCGGCCGGAUAAGUCUCUUGAGAAAUCUGGCAGCUUAACUGUCAGGCUUUCAGGAGAUACUGUCUGGCUCGAGGCCGGGAGAGGUGAGAGGUACUUCAGGGGUAGGGGUGAAAUCUUGUAAUCCUUGAAGGACCACCAGUGGCGAAGGCGUCUCACCAGAACGGACCUGACGGCAAGGGACGAAAGCUAGGGGCACGAACCGGAUUAGAUACCCGGGUAGUCCUAGCCGUAAACGAUACUCGCUAGGUGUCGGCCACGGUGCGACCGUU